Long non-coding RNA from Oreochromis aureus, 233 nucleotides. RefSeq lists it as uncharacterized. The transcript is spliced from 3 exons. NCBI's taxonomy places the organism in Eukaryota, Metazoa, Chordata, Actinopteri, Cichliformes, Cichlidae. The record is from RefSeq and is a predicted model, not a curated record.
ACCCACUAGCUGCAGAGGAUUUGACAACAACAGGCAGAACUGGCUCCUGAGACCUAACCCAGGAAUGGCCCUCACUGGACCAACUGCCAGGGCUCCAGUCUGCUCGCUGCUGGUUCUCUUGUAUCUUCGUACAGUCACAGGAAUGUCAGGCUGGGGUGGAUGUUUGGACGGCCAGAAUGUAUCUGCAGCAAUCAAAGAAAACACAGUUUGGGGAGAGAUUGUUGCUGAGUUAA